GCCAGUGUGGCAUCAUGGUUUGAAUGUUAGACUAUGAAUCUGGAGACCAGGGUUCAAUUCCCAGCUUGGCCA
This is a non-coding RNA of Phrynosoma platyrhinos (Desert horned lizard), 72 nucleotides long. The record is from the annotation of a GenBank genome assembly. NCBI's taxonomy places the organism in Eukaryota, Metazoa, Chordata, Lepidosauria, Squamata, Phrynosomatidae.